Molecule: long non-coding RNA, 657 nt
Filed under: Gossypium barbadense (sea-island cotton)
Lineage: Eukaryota; Viridiplantae; Streptophyta; Magnoliopsida; Malvales; Malvaceae
Description: long non-coding RNA (GBAR_LNC022131)
Source: RNAcentral
GAGCGGUCCUAAAAUGGGUUUUAGUUAAUCUCUUAUAAAUAUCGACGGAUUUAGGCAAAAUUUUAAGCUUAUAUUUCAGGCUAGGCCAAGCUUGAACAGACGUAAAACAUGUUAAUAUCAUACACAGGUCCGACCCAAACUCGGCAUGAACAAUUAUAGAGACAAGGGACUGCUAAUCCACCUUAGUGAAACAAUUAUUUACAGCAUAAUCAGAUACUUCGGCCCAUUUAUCCGAAGCAAGUGCAUAAGUUCAGGGUAUCAACUCUUCCAAAGGUUUAUCGGCACACCACGUAUCAAGCCAAAGCAACACGUCGUUACCAUUACCCACAAUCCAUCUAAAUGAGUGAUUGUGACAAUGAAUUUGCCCACUUCGGCAUUACCAGAGACAUUAUUCCUACGGGAAGUCUUUGGUACCCAACAACCAUACUUGGCCGAGAUGACUUUCCUCCAAAGCACGCCACCACCAUUUAGCCAAUAAGGCUUUGUUUUUGUUGGACAUAUUAGCAAUACCAACCCUCCCAAUUUUUUAGGUUGACAUACGAGCCCUCUCGAAUCUUGUCAAUCUUAUAAAUAAUAGAAGUCAUGAAGAUCGACACAUGAUAUAAUGAGAGCGGUGAAAGAAGUACAGUUAGUAAAAGUCACCCUUGCAUGUUCCCG